UACGUAGGGGGCGAGCGUUGUCCGGAGUUACUGGGCGUAAAGGGCAUGCAGGCGGUCGGACGCGUUUUGUGUGACAGCGGGUGGCUUAACUGCCCGAGUAUGCGAAAGACGGUCCGACUUGAGGGCUCGAGAGGGACACGGAAUUCCGGGUGGAGUGGUGAAAUGCGUAGAGAUCCGGAGGAACACCAAAGGCGAAGGCAGUGUCCUGGUGAGCACCUGACGCUGAGGUGCGAAAGCUAGGGGAGCGAACGG
RNAcentral lists this ribosomal RNA (252 nucleotides) under uncultured bacterium. RNAcentral describes it as "partial 16S ribosomal RNA". It matches the Rfam family "Bacterial small subunit ribosomal RNA", at positions 524 to 775 of the family's 1533-position model. The record is from RNAcentral.